ACGGGUGAGUAACACGUAGGUAACCUACCCUUCAGUGGGGGACAACAGAGGGAAACUUCUGCUAAUACCGCAUACGAUCACGGACUGGGAUGUUCGUGGUGAAAGGAUUUAUUCGCUGAGGGAUGGGCCUGCGGCCUAUCAGGUAGUUGGUGGGGUAAUGGCCUACCAAGCCUGCGACGGGUAGCCGGACUGAGAGGUCGAUCGGCCACACUGGAACUGAGACACGGUCCAGACUCCUACGGGAGGCAGCAGUGGGGAAUAUUGCACAAUGGGGGAAACCCUGAUGCAGCGACGCCGCGUGAAGGAUGACGGCCUUCGGGUUGUAAACUCCUUUUGUCGGGGACAAUGGUGAUGGUACCCGACGAAUAAGCCACGGCUAACUCUGUGCCAGCAGCCGCGGUAAGACAGAGGUGGCGAGCGUUGUUCGGAAUUACUGGGCUUAAAGGGCGCGUAGGCGGUGGUGUAAGUCUAGGGUGGAAUGCUACAGCUCAACUGUAGAGCUGCCUUGGAAACUGCAUUACUUGAGUCGGUGAGGGGAAGGUGGAAUUCCAGGU
RNAcentral lists this ribosomal RNA (554 nucleotides) under uncultured bacterium. RNAcentral describes it as "bacterial SSU rRNA". It matches the Rfam family "Bacterial small subunit ribosomal RNA", at positions 102 to 674 of the family's 1533-position model. The record is from RNAcentral.